UACGAAGGGUGCAAGCGUUAAUCGGAAUUACUGGGCGUAAGGCGUGCGCAGGCGGUUGGCAAAGUCAGCUGUGAAAGCCCCGGGCUUAACCUGGGAAUUGCGUUGGAGACUGCAAGGCUGGAGUCUGGCAGAGGGGGGUAGAAUUCCACGUGUAGCAGUGAAAUGCGUAGAGAUGUGGAGGAACACCGAUGGCGAAGGCAGCCCCCUGGGUCAAGACUGACGCUCAUGCACGAAAGCGUGGGGAGCAAACAGG
RNAcentral lists this ribosomal RNA (253 nucleotides) under uncultured bacterium. RNAcentral's name for it is "partial 16S ribosomal RNA". It matches the Rfam family "Bacterial small subunit ribosomal RNA", at positions 524 to 776 of the family's 1533-position model. The record is from RNAcentral.